AGCAAACGCUGGCGGCAGGCUUAACACAUGCAAGUCGAGCGCCCCGCAAGGGGAGCGGCAGACGGGAGAGUAACACGUGGGAACAUACCUUUUGGUUCGGAACAACUGAGGGAAACUUCAGCUAAUACCGGAUAAGCCCUUACGGGGAAAGAUUUAUCGCCGAAAGAUUGGCCCGCGUCUGAUUAGCUAGUUGGUGAGGUAACGGCUCACCAAGGCGACGAUCAGUAGCUGGUCUGAGAGGAUGAUCAGCCUCACUGGGACUGAGACACGGCCCAGACUCCUACGGGAGGCAGCAGUGGGGAAUAUUGGACAAUGGGCGCAAGCCUGAUCCAGCCAUGCCGCGUGAGUGAUGAAGGCCUUAGGGUUGUAAAGCUCUUUUGCCCGGGAAGAUAAUGACGGUACCGGGAGAAUAAGCCCCGGCUAACUUCGUGCCAGCCGCCGCAGUAA
This 447-nucleotide ribosomal RNA is filed under the name uncultured bacterium. Its description in RNAcentral is "partial 16S ribosomal RNA". It matches the Rfam family "Bacterial small subunit ribosomal RNA", at positions 29 to 523 of the family's 1533-position model. The record is from RNAcentral.